AGGGAAUCUUCCGCAAUGGACGAAAGUCCGACGGAGCAACGCCGCGUGAGCGAUGAAGGCCUUCGGGUCGUAAAGCUCUGUUGUUAGGGAAGAACAAGUAUCGGAGUAACUGCCGGUACCUUGACGGUACCUAACCAGAAAGCCACGGCUAACUACGUGCCAGCAGCCGCGGUAAUACGUAGGUGGCAAGCGUUGUCCGGAAUUAUUGGGCGUAGAGCGCGCGCAGGCGGUCCUUUAAGUCUGAUGUGAAAGCCCACGGCUCAACCGUGGAGGGUCAUUGGAAACUGGGGGACUUGAGUGCAGAAGAGGAAAGCGGAAUUCCACGUGUAGCGGUGAAAUGCGUAGAGAUGUGGAGGAACACCAGUGGCGAAGGCGGCUUUCUGGUCUGUAACUGACGCUGAGGCGUGAAAGCGUGGGGAGCAAAC
This 425-nucleotide ribosomal RNA is filed under the name uncultured bacterium. RNAcentral describes it as "bacterial SSU rRNA". It matches the Rfam family "Bacterial small subunit ribosomal RNA", at positions 356 to 773 of the family's 1533-position model. The record is from RNAcentral.